RNAcentral lists this unclassified non-coding RNA (274 nucleotides) under Hevea brasiliensis (rubber tree). The record is from RNAcentral. Lineage: Eukaryota; Viridiplantae; Streptophyta; Magnoliopsida; Malpighiales; Euphorbiaceae.
GCUCAACAGAUUCCUCUCUUCUCCAAAGCAUUGCAUUACAUCAACUGUAGUGAAGGAAGGAAGGUAAUGGAUCAUCAACAGGAGCAGGAUCCUCCAACAUUCAACAGUAAAUCACUUGAGAAGAAGCCAGGAAUUCUCUUUAUUGGAUCUCCCAAUGUCGGCAAACGCGCCCUUAUCUCUCGACUACUUUCAGUAGAUUCUGAAGAUGCAUUUGAAUCAUCUUCUAACAUCCUAUCAUAUCCGUAAGUUGACAAAGUGGGCAAUCAACACCAAG